Molecule: ribosomal RNA, 305 nt
Filed under: uncultured bacterium
Lineage: Bacteria
Description: bacterial SSU rRNA
Rfam family: Bacterial small subunit ribosomal RNA
Source: RNAcentral
CCUACGGGAGGCAGCAGUGGGGAAUAUCGGACAAUGGGGGAAACCCUGAUCCAGCGACGCCGCGUGAGUGAAGAAGUAUUUCGGUACGUAAAGCUCUAUCAGCAGGAAAGAAAAUGACGGUACCUGACUAAGAAGCCCCGGCUAACUACAUGCCAGCAGCCGCGGUAAUACGUAGGGGGCAAGCGUUAUCCGGAUUUACUGGGUGUAAAGGGAGCGUAGACGGAGGAGCAAGUCUGAUGUGAAAAUCCGGGGCCCAACCCCGGAACUGCAUUGGAAACUGUUUAUCUAGAGUGUCGGAGAGGCAA